UCUACCAAAUGGGAAAAUGACACUUGAUAUGUUAAAUCUCCCUUCACAGAAAAAAGUAUGUCACCAUAUUAGACCCAUCAAUCGUCAAGAUGCAUAGAUAUUGGGAGCAUCUAGAAAUCACACACAUCCAGCAAAUCUGAUUUGUUUGAAAAACAUGAUCAGGACCUCUGAGAAAAAGUCACAUUUUAUUCACUUGUUACAUACAGAAAAAAUCAGGCUUUUAAAAUAGAUGUGUAAAUCUAAUAUUCUUGGGAUAAUAAUUUAUAACAUCAUCUAUUGGAUAUUAAUUAGUGAUAGGCGCUGGGCUAUCAUUCUGUACACAUAAUUUUGUCAAAUCUUCAUAAAAACCAUAUGGGAUAGGUAUUAUUGCCUCCAGUUUCCAGAUGAGAAACUGAAGUUCAAUUAGGUUUCGUAACUUGCCUAAGAUCACACAUCUAGCAACAGGACAAGCCGAGAUGUAACCCAAGUCAACCUGAUAUUAAAACCCAUGUGUUCUUAAACUCUACACUGCUAUCUAAGUGGAAACAAGAGCCACAUUUCAUACUCCCAUCUAUAAAGAUUGAAAACCCAUUUCCUAUCUAGACACUGUGCUUAAGUGAAGAUUUUAAAAUCCACUUUGUAUCUUGGCAUGACAGUACAGACAACUUCCUCAGAGCUCUCAGAUCUGCAAGCAUAUGCGCCUGUGUAUAAACUUAAACCUUAUCCAAACUCCAGUGUUACUAUUGAGUAAAAUUUUCUUCCUAGUUUAUCUAGGUAUCAGGAAAAUUCUCCCUUCGGCACCACAGCUGUGAAUCACAAACUCUUAUUUGUGCCAUCUAAGGACAAAGAAAUGGAACACCUGUGCUUUUCAUUUAUGAUAACAUAAUUUUGGAAACAUCUCACCAACAAUCGGUUUAUCUUAUGGAAUAACUCGAGAAGAGAAUAAACAUACCAAUUACUUGCAUGGCCGGUUCCACGUCUGUUGUGGCCUCUUCCAACAAUGACAGCAGCUUGGCUGAUAUCUGAUGCACCGACUCAAUGUUGCUAAACAAGCUAUCCACAUCCAGCCUAUCAAUCUGAAGAAACAAAAAACAUUGAGCUGAUGGAGAAGUACUGUAUUUAGGAUGUUUUCUCCUGCUAAACAGAUGAACCAUCUUGAAGAUACAGAAAAUAAUGCAGGAUGAAGAGAGGAGCCAUGCUCAAACUUAUGCAAGAAGUUCAGGGGACAACUGGAUUCAGAAAUUGGCCUUUUUGUUCUAUGCCUUCGUUCUUUACCAGGAAAUAUUAAUAAUAGAGUACUUUACUAUCUCUGUUUAGAUUUUUUGGUUUGUUCCUGAAAUUUUCACCAAUUUGUCACUCCUACAAUUUAUUUCCCAAGGUCAGUUUCCUGUAUAUCUGUUUAAUUUAGAUUAUGAAUCCAUUUAGCAAGGAUCUAAUUCUACAUUUUAUCUGUAAUCUUAGCUUGGUGCAACAAAUACUAAAUAACAAAAACAUAGAUUUUAAUUCCACUUCUUCCUGAAGGACAGAAAGGAUUAAAACAUCAAUUGGCUUGAUUUCAAACGCCCAUAUCACCAUGAGCCCAUGGGGAUUCUGUGAAUCAUAAAAUUAAUUCAUAUCCAAUCAUUGCUAUGCCAAGGAACAAACAAAUGCCUGGUACACAUAGGCUUUUAAAACUGAUAGAUGAUUUUAUGAUUACUGAUAUAAAUUCAAGGAAGCGUGUAUUUAUAUUUAUUAAUCAUUCACUGGAAACAGGUAAUGCUCUAAAAGCUUAAGUUGAAUUACAUUUUAAAUGGAUUAAAAUUUAUUUUUUUUAAAAAGACAGUCUGAGUACACACUAUUCUAAGUCAAGUCAACAUAUAAUAAUUCAGACUUACAAAACAUAAAAAUUAAAGGCCAAUGUUUCUUUUUUAAAAUUUUCUUCUUAAAAAAAUGGGAUACAUGUGCAGAACAUGCAGGUUUGUCACAUAGGUAUACAUGUGCCAUGGUGGUUUGCUGCACCUAUUAACCCAUCCUCUAAGUUCCCUCCUCUCCCCACCUACCCCCUAAUCAGCCCUAGUGUGUGUUGUUCCCCUCUCUGUGUCCAUGUGUUCUCAUUGUUCAGCUCCCACUUAUGAGUGAGAACAUGCUGUAUUUGGUUUUCUGUUUCUUUGUUAGUUUGCAGAGGAUGAUAGCUUCCAGCUUUAUCUGUGUCUCUGCAAAGGACAUGAUCCAAUUCAUUUUUAUGGCUGCAUAGUAUUCCAUGGUGUAUAUGUACCACAUUUUCUUUAUCCAGUCUAUCAUGGAUGGGCAUUUGGGUUGGUUCUAUGUCUUUGCUAUUGUAAAUAGUGCUGCAGUAAACAUAUGUGUGCAUGUGUCUUUAUAGUAGAAUGAUUCAUAUUCCUUUGGGUAUACACCCAGUAAUUGGAUUGCUGGGUCAAAUGGUAUUUCUGGUUCUAGAUUAAUGGCCAGUGUUUCAAUUGGCAAUUUAAUUUGUUGCUUUACAAAAGUACUUAUCGCAAGAUAUAUUUCAAAUAGCCAGUUCCCAUUACAUUUAAAUAAUUACUAGGUUUUAAAAUCAGGUAAUGUGAUGCCUCCAGCGUUGUUCAUUUUGCUUAAGGUUGCUUUGGCUCUUCAGGGUCUUGUGUGGUUGCAUAUAAAUUUUAAGGUUGUCUUUCUAUUUCUAUGAAACAAGUCAUUGAAAUUUUAAUAGGAAUUGCAUUUAGUCUAUAGAUUGCUUUAAGUAGAAUGGAUAUGUUAACAAUGUUAAUUCUUCCAAUCCAUUAACACCAGAUAUCUUUCCAUUUAUCCAUGUCUUCUUCAAAUUCUUUUAUCAAUGUUAAGUAGUUUUCAGUGACUUCAAAAUCUACUACAAAGCUGUAGCAAUCAAAACAGCAUGGUACCAGCAUAAUAACAGACACAUACACCAAUGGAACAGAAUAGAGAGCCCAGAAAUAAAUCCACACUUUUACAGUUGAUUGAUUUUCAGCAAAGAUGUCAAGAACACACAAUGGGAAAGGACAGUCUUUUCAACGUAUGGUUCUAGAAAAACUGGCUAUCCACAUGUAGAAAAAUGAAACUAGACCCUUACCUCACACUAAAUCAACUCAAAAUGAACACUUAAAUGUAAGACCUGAAGUUGUAAAGUUACUGGAAGAAAACACAGGCGAAAAGUUCCAUGACAUUGGUCUGUGCAAUUAUUUUUUGGAUAUGACCCCAAAUCACAGGAAACAAAAGCAAAAAUAGGCAAAUCGUAUUCCAUCAAACUUAAAAGCUUUUGCACAGCAAAGAAAACAAUAAUCAGAGUUGAAAGACAACUUGUGAAAUAAGAGAAUACAUUUGCAAACCACACAUCCGAUAAAGGGUGUUAAUAUGCAAAAUAUAUAAGGAGCUCUACUCAGUAAGAAAACAAAUAAUCCCAUUAAAACAUGGGCAAAACUAAUGCAUACUAGGCUUAAUACCUGAGAGAUGAAAUAAUGUGUACAACAAACCCCCAUGACACACGUUUACCUACAUAACAAACCUGCACAUCCUGCACAUGUACCCAUGAACUUAAAAUAAA
This is a long non-coding RNA of Pongo pygmaeus (Bornean orangutan), 3517 nucleotides long. RefSeq lists it as uncharacterized. The transcript has 3 exons. NCBI's taxonomy places the organism in Eukaryota, Metazoa, Chordata, Mammalia, Primates, Hominidae. The record is from RefSeq and is a predicted model, not a curated record.